GCGCUUAACACAUGCAAGUCGCACGAGAAAGUGGAGCAAUCCAUGAGUACAGUGGCGUACGGGUGAGUAACACGUGGAUCAUCUACCUCUUAGUGGGGAAUAACCCUGGGAAACCGGGGCUAAUACCGCAUAAGCUCGAGAGAGGAAAGCAGCAAUGCGCUGAGAGAGGAGUCCGCGGCCGAUUAGCUAGUUGGCAGGGUAAAUGCCUACCAAGGCAAAGAUCGGUAGCCGGCCUGAGAGGGCACACGGCCACACUGGCACUGAAACACGGGCCAG
This 276-nucleotide ribosomal RNA is filed under the name uncultured bacterium. Its description in RNAcentral is "partial 16S ribosomal RNA". It matches the Rfam family "Bacterial small subunit ribosomal RNA", at positions 44 to 334 of the family's 1533-position model. The record is from RNAcentral.